This 2164-nucleotide long non-coding RNA is filed under the name Penaeus monodon (black tiger shrimp). RNAcentral describes it as "uncharacterized LOC119574150". Lineage: Eukaryota; Metazoa; Arthropoda; Malacostraca; Decapoda; Penaeidae. The record is from RNAcentral.
AGUGGCAGGUCCUCGUGUAAAGCUCGCUGUGUCGCCGCCGAGACGCGAGUCGUACGGUUCCUGGUGCCGCCAUUAUUGCCUUUUGCCACUGCCACCUUCGUCACUGCCGGUCUUGGUAGGUGGUCGUCGGCGCGCGCGCGGGAGGACGAAUUGGCCCCGUAACGCGGAGCCGAAACCAACAGGCGCGGGUGACUUUUUUUUGGCGACGCGGGUGAGGCGUAUCGGCGGCGACCUCACCUGGUCUCGUGCACUUGUCUUGGUCCUCAUUGCCUCGCGAGCUCAUGGCGUCGAGGCAGUGAGGAGAGAGUAAGGAGAAGGAGAAAGAGGAGGAGGAACGUGAGGGAGAAGAGGAGGAGCUAGAGGACGACGGUGAGGACGAAAACCGAAGACGCCAGUUCCGGCCAGACGCGGACGCCGGCGCUCUCUCGUGCCUCGAUCUCACUUCCGACGGGGAAAUGUGCGUGGGAUUCGCCUUUCUUCGUCUUUCCUUUCAUUUUUCUUCUUUUUAGAACAAUCUUGCGAGCUUGUUUUUGGCGGCCGCCAUCCCUGUUCUACUUCCUCGCCGACCGGAGUCUCGGGUCUGGUUCCGUGCCUCGCCAGAAGUGCCAUGAGUUAGCAUGUGCUUUCGCUCUCGAGUGUUGAUCGAUGUCAGUGGGACAGAAUCAAAGAAAAACAAACAGUAAAUGAUAAUAAUGAAAAUAAUGGAUGAUGGUAAUAAAUGAGAAAAUACUAAAAGAUAGAAAAGAUUAAGAGAAAGGGUUAUAAAAACCCAUGAGUUAGCGGUCGUGAAUACUUCCGGAUGAAAAGAAAAAAUACGUAAUAGAAUUCACUUCGCUUUGCUGACCCCGUCCCGUGCCAGCGACCGCCGCGGUGAAUGACUGAGCAGAAUCACACUCUCGGUCUAUUGAAUCCCCCUUACUUGUUUUUUUUUUCGUACUCGUUGAAGACCUUCCUUUUUUCUUUUCAAAUCCUCAAGUUGGUAAGUAGCAACACUCGGACAAAGACCGCCAGAGUCACUGCCACUGCCAUAACCGCAGAGUGCUCUCCUCCCCUCCCUUUCCCCUUUCCCUUCCCCCUCUCCCUCCUCCAGCUGCGUGACGGCGGCGGGAGAGAGAAACAAACAAAACCGGCGAUCAUAACCAACAGUUCCAGACACCGCUUCUAUUUUUUUCUCUCCUCCCCCCUCCCUCUCUCUCUCUCCACCCCUUUGGCUCUCCCCUCCCUCCCCCUACCUCUAGACCAUACACACACAAACCCUCCGCCCACCUCCCUCGUAGGGCACAGGGAGGGGAGGGGAGGGAGGGAGAGGGGAACAGGCUUUCACUCAGGUUGCUCUCGCGCGUGUGUGUGUGUGUGUGUAUGUGUGUGUGUGUGUGAGUGAGAGAGCGAGAUCGAGUGUCGAGAGUGUGAGUCCAGGGCCUCCGCAGCUACCAGGUCCCUCGACGACGUUCCUCAGCGGAGAUCUCGCCGACGAGCCGGAGAUCGGAGUGAAUCGAGAGAGCGAGAGAUUACAUAGAUAUAUAAGGGAUUCGAAACCUUUUGUCUUUUAGGUUCGGAUCCGAAGCGAGUGCCGAGCGAGAUAUGAAGCGGGAGAGAGAGAGAGAGAGAGGAGGAAGUUGGAAAUAAAGAGAAUAUAAUAAGGAAGGAGCCAAGAAAGUGAAGGUGAAGUUUGAUCGCUAAGUAGGGUGAUCCUGUGCCCGAAAGAUUGGAAAGUGAGUCGCAGUUGGGGAAAAAUAUUCCGUGCAAAGCCAGGAAGCGAAAAGAUAAAAUUUUAGGUGUGGUCGUGAGCUCUUAAUAGCGGUGCUUCAUACUCUCCUCGUUCGACUCUGCGAGUGUUUGUGAGACUUGGACGCGCGUUGAAACUGGUCCUCUUCAUCGUCGUCGUCGUCGUCGUCGUCUUGACAAGGAAAAAAAACAACAAAAAACAUAGAAACAACGACCCCAUCCGAGACGAAGGGACGAAUUAUUAAAAACAUCAACCUCAGUUGUUCCCUGUGGACGGAAUUCAAAUCUUUGAUACGACUGCCCCAUUUAAGAAGAAGUCCGUCGAGAGUGAGCUCCCCCUCGAGAACACCCCCCCCCCCUUACCUUCCUCAGUUAACCGACGCCCCUGACACAACGCCAGCAUCUACCGCGACUCCAGAAGGGCGUAGCAGAGGCGGCG